Molecule: non-coding RNA, 100 nt
Organism: Lentinula aciculospora
Lineage: Eukaryota; Fungi; Basidiomycota; Agaricomycetes; Agaricales; Omphalotaceae
Source: the annotation of a GenBank genome assembly
GCUUUCUUAGCUCAGUGGUUUAGAGCUUUGUACUUAUGAGGCUGACUUCUCGGCUGAGCAUUAUAUGCAAGGGUCACCAGUUCGAUCCUGGUAGAAAGCA